Molecule: ribosomal RNA, 703 nt
Filed under: uncultured Flexibacteraceae bacterium
Lineage: Bacteria; Pseudomonadati; Bacteroidota; Cytophagia; Cytophagales; Cytophagaceae
Description: bacterial SSU rRNA
Rfam family: Bacterial small subunit ribosomal RNA
Source: RNAcentral
GAUACGCUAACGGGCAGGCCUAAUACCUGCAAGUCGAACGGUGUCUUCGGACAUAGUGGCGCACGGGUGCGUAACACGUAUGCAACCUACCUUACAUUGGGGGAUAGCCUUUCGAAAGGGAGAUUAAUACCGCAUAAGACAGUAGCUGGGCAUCCAGCAGCUGUUAAAGAUUUAUCGAUGUAAGCUGGGCAUGCGUCCAAUUAGCUAGUUGGUGAGGUAAUGGCUCACCAAGGCAAUGAUUGGUAGGGGAACUGAGAGGUCAAUCCCCCACACUGGCACUGAGAUACGGGCCAGACUCCUACGGGAGGCAGCAGUAGGGAAUAUUGGGCAAUGGACGCAAGUCUGACCCAGCCAUGCCGCGUGCACGGAUGAAGGCGUUAUGCGUUGUAAACUGCUUUUAUACAGGAAGAAACGACUCUUGCGAGAGGCAUUGACGGUACUGUAUGAAUAAGCACCGGCUAACUCCGUGCCAGCAGCCGCGGUAAUACGGAGGGUGCAAGCGUUGUCCGGAUUUAUUGGGUUUAAACGGGUGCGCAGGUGGUUUAUUAAGUCAGUGGUGAAAGACGGUCGCUCAACGAUUGCAGUGCCAUUGAAACUGGUAGACUUGAGUAAAGUAGAGGUGGGCGGAAUUGAUAGUGUAGCGGUGAAAUGCAUAGAUAUUAUCAAGAACUCCAAUUGCGUAGGCACGCUCACUUGGCUUUUA